RNAcentral lists this ribosomal RNA (250 nucleotides) under uncultured bacterium. RNAcentral's name for it is "partial 16S ribosomal RNA". It matches the Rfam family "Bacterial small subunit ribosomal RNA", at positions 524 to 772 of the family's 1533-position model. The record is from RNAcentral.
UACGGGGAGUGCAAGCGUUGUUCGGAAUUAUUGGGCGUAAAGCGCGUGUAGGCGGUCCAACAAGUCUGGCGUGAAAGCCUCGGGCUCAACCUGAGAAGUGCGCUGGAAACUGUUGGACUUGAGUACCGGAGGGGAAGGUGGAAUUCUCGAGUGUAGAGGUGAAAUUCGUAGAUAUUCGGAAGAACAUCAGUGGCGAAGGCGGCCUUCUGGACGGAUACUGACGCUGAGACGCGAAAGCGUGGGGAGCAAA